UACGGAGGAUUCGAGCGUUAUCCGGAUUUAUUGGGUUUAAAGGGUGCGUAGGCGGACCAAUAAGUCAGUGGUGAAAUACAUCAGCUUAACUGCUGCACUGCCGUUGAUACUGUUGGACUAGAAUAUAAAUGGUGCAGGCGGAAUGAAUCAUGUAGAGGUGACAUUCAUAGAUAUGAUUCAGAACACCGAUCGCGAAGGCAGCUUGCAAAGAUAUUAUUGACGCUGAUGCACGAAAGCGUGGGUAGCGAACAGGAUUAGAUACCCUGGUAGUCCACGCUGUAAACGAUGAUAACUCGUUGUCGGCGAUAGACAGUCGGUGACUAAGCGAAAGCGAUAAGUUAUCCACCUGGGGAGUACGAUCGCAAGGUUGAA
This 372-nucleotide ribosomal RNA is filed under the name uncultured bacterium. Its description in RNAcentral is "bacterial SSU rRNA". It matches the Rfam family "Bacterial small subunit ribosomal RNA", at positions 524 to 898 of the family's 1533-position model. The record is from RNAcentral.